RNAcentral lists this transfer RNA (88 nucleotides) under bacterium. RNAcentral's name for it is "tRNA-Ser". It matches the Rfam family "tRNA". Rfam says of the family: Transfer RNA (tRNA) molecules are approximately 80 nucleotides in length. The record is from RNAcentral.
GGAGGGAUGGCCGAGCGGUUGAAGGCGCCGGUCUUGAAAACCGGAACGGGGCGACCUCGUUCGUGGGUUCGAAUCCCUCCCUCCGCCA